AUGAACGCUGGCGGCGUGCCUAAUACAUGCAAGUCGAGCGAACGGACGAGAAGCUUGCUUCUCUGAUGUUAGCGGCGGACGGGUGAGUAACACGUGGAUAACCUACCUAUAAGACUGGGAUAACUUCGGGAAACCGGAGCUAAUACCGGAUGAUAUUUUGAACCGCAUGGUUCAAAAGUGAAAGACGGUCUUGCUGUCACUUAUAGAUGGAUCCGCGCUGCAUUAGCUAGUUGGUAAGGUAACGGCUUACCAAGGCAACGAUGCAUAGCCGACCUGAGAGGGUGAUCGGCCACACUGGAACUGAGACACGGUCCAGACUCCUACGGGAGGCAGCAGUAGGGAAUCUUCCGCAAUGGGCGAAAGCCUGACGGAGCAACGCCGCGUGAGUGAUGAAGGUCUUCGGAUCGUAAAACUCUGUUAUUAGGGAAGAACAUAUGUGUAAGUAAUUGUGCACAUCUUGACGGUACCUAAUCAGAAAGCCACGGCUAACUACGUG
This 496-nucleotide ribosomal RNA is filed under the name uncultured bacterium. RNAcentral's name for it is "partial 16S ribosomal RNA". It matches the Rfam family "Bacterial small subunit ribosomal RNA", at positions 29 to 507 of the family's 1533-position model. The record is from RNAcentral.